This 254-nucleotide ribosomal RNA is filed under the name uncultured bacterium. Its description in RNAcentral is "partial 16S ribosomal RNA". It matches the Rfam family "Bacterial small subunit ribosomal RNA", at positions 524 to 776 of the family's 1533-position model. The record is from RNAcentral.
UACGUAGGCAGCAAGCGUUGUUCGGAAUUACUGGGCGUAAAGAGUGUGUAGGCGGUGCUCUAAGUUCGGUGUGAAAUCUCCCGGCUCAACUGGGAGGGUGCGCCGGAAACUGGGGGUGCUGGAGCGCGGGAGAGGUGCGUGGAAUUCCCGGUGUAGCGGUGAAAUGCGUAGAUAUUGGGAGGAACACCAGUGGCGAAGGCGGCUCACUGGACCGGAACUGACGCUGAGGCGCGAAAGCGUGGGGAGCAAACAGG